CCUGCGUGGGCUCAGCCUGCGGCCUCAGAGGGGCCGGGCCCUGGCGGGAGGUGGGCUGCUUCCGCCUCUCCAGCAUCCCCGUCCCCACUUUGCAAACGACACCCUGUUGGUGUCCGGGGAACCACUGCCGCGCACCUGCUCCGCGUCUUAGAGAAACUGUCCAUCAAGAUGCCCCACCCCCUGGGCAAGGGGCGGGGCCCAUACCCGAAGCGAGGCCCAUCAGAUGCGCUCCUGAGCUCACCCAUCCCGGCAGGGGGACUGGAGGUGGUCCUUCUGCCUGGCCCGGGGCCUUCCCACCCCCCUGACUUCCUGCGGCGAAGGGAUGGGGCCAGGGACACCCCCAAAACAUCCAGGAGGCUUAGAAUUCCUGCAAUUCCAGCCAGAGGGUCUGUGCCGGGAACAGAUGCUACGAGCGUUAACACGCCUCCCAUCCUGGUACACAGAGUGCAAAACAUGAACAUCUCCUGGCCUUUGCCCGCGGGCCUGCAGGAGGCUGUGAGCUCCUCUCCGAGAGACAGCGCGGGGACAGAGAGCCUGGGGACAGCUGCCAGGGGCCAGCAGCAAGUGAGAGAGGAUGGGGGGCAGGGCACACACUGACCUUGCCAGCUACUAUUCUGUCACGGCACAGGGUGCUUCCCUGGGAAUGACCGUCUAACUUUGAGCAAAAUACUUGCCCACUGCCUGCUUGGGCCUCUGUGUGGUCAAGUUCAAUGCUUGAAAAGGUUUGUGUACCUUUUCAAAUGUCAUAUGCCAAUAAAAGUGGUUAUUUCAAAAUAA
Felis catus (domestic cat) is the source of this 777-nucleotide long non-coding RNA. RefSeq lists it as uncharacterized. NCBI's taxonomy places the organism in Eukaryota, Metazoa, Chordata, Mammalia, Carnivora, Felidae. The transcript has 2 exons. The record is from RefSeq and is a predicted model, not a curated record.